Molecule: small RNA, 201 nt
Filed under: Arabidopsis thaliana (thale cress)
Lineage: Eukaryota; Viridiplantae; Streptophyta; Magnoliopsida; Brassicales; Brassicaceae
Description: ATSL287840
Source: RNAcentral
UAGAGUAACAAAAUUGAGAAAAAUAUUGUAGUCCGGAAUGGUUGUGAUGGUUAGGACAGACAAAUCCAUUUGUUUGAAGAGAUUUUCGUUUACCAUUCAUAAACUAUAAUCCGUUACUGUUUUAGUCCGCUUUGCCCAUAUCUACCAUUCAAAGCGUACGUGUAAUCCUUUGCAUUCCUCUACAGUUCUACUAUUUACCAU